Molecule: unclassified non-coding RNA, 231 nt
Filed under: Pyxine sorediata
Lineage: Eukaryota; Fungi; Ascomycota; Lecanoromycetes; Caliciales; Caliciaceae
Description: partial internal transcribed spacer region
Rfam family: Eukaryotic small subunit ribosomal RNA (bases 1-46)
Source: RNAcentral
AAGUCGUAACAAGGUUUCCGUAGGUGAACCUGCGGAAGGAUCAUUACCGAGAGACGGGGUCUAACCGGCCCCAACUCUUCGCCCUUGAAUGCGUACACAUGUUGCUUUGGCGGAUAGCCACGGUUCGCCCCGCGCGAACGCCCGCCAGAGGCUCAGUAAAUCCUGCUAUCAGUGAAGUCCGAGUAAUUUCAAAUAAUUAAAAAACUUUCAACAACGGAUCUCUUGGUUCUG